Molecule: non-coding RNA, 98 nt
Organism: Hypomontagnella submonticulosa
Lineage: Eukaryota; Fungi; Ascomycota; Sordariomycetes; Xylariales; Hypoxylaceae
Source: the annotation of a GenBank genome assembly
UGCCCAUUGGCCCAGUGGUUAAGGCGUCUGACUGUUAUUGUACCACUACAAACAACAGCAAAAUCAGAAGAUCCCUGGUUCGACCCCAGGAUGGGCAG